Non-coding RNA from Haemonchus placei, 73 nucleotides. Lineage: Eukaryota; Metazoa; Nematoda; Chromadorea; Rhabditida; Trichostrongylidae. The record is from Rfam.
GUCUCGGUAGUGUAAGGGAUAAGAGCACGGUCCUCAAAAAGGACAUGUACGGGUUCGAGUCUCGUCCGAGACU